Molecule: ribosomal RNA, 159 nt
Filed under: Triticum aestivum (bread wheat)
Lineage: Eukaryota; Viridiplantae; Streptophyta; Magnoliopsida; Poales; Poaceae
Description: partial small subunit ribosomal RNA
Source: RNAcentral
AUGCUCAUCUCUUGAGAGGUUUGGUCCGAGAGAAACGCUAGAGUCUUCCACAACGUGGCGGUUCCAUCGGCGGUCAUCGUCAACAAGAUCAAGCAUGAGGUGUCGCUUUGGGCUUUGACGGGUGUCAAGCACUUGAGUAUUGUAAUGACGCGAGAGUAA